CCUACGGGUGGCAGCAGUCGAGAAUCAUUCACAAUGGGGGAAACCCUGAUGGUGCGACGCCGCGUGGGGGAAUGAAGGUCUUCGGAUUGUAAACCCCUGUCAUGUGGGAGCAAAUUAAAAAGAUAGUACCACAAGAGGAAGAGACGGCUAACUCUGUGCCAGCAGCCGCGGUAAUACAGAGGUCUCAAGCGUUGUUCGGAAUCACUGGGCGUAAAGCGUGCGUAGGCUGUUUCGUAAGUCGUGUGUGAAAGGCGCGGGCUCAACCCGCGGACGGCACAUGAUACUGCGAGACUAGAGUAGUGGAGGGGGAACCGGAAGUCUCGGUGUAGCAGUGAAAUGCGUAGAUAUCGAGAGGAACACUCGUGGCGAAGGCGGGUUCCUGGACAUUAACUGACGCUGAGGCACGAAGGCCAGGGGAGCGAAAGGGAUUAGAUACCCGGGUAGUC
Molecule: ribosomal RNA, 446 nt
Filed under: uncultured bacterium
Lineage: Bacteria
Description: partial 16S ribosomal RNA
Rfam family: Bacterial small subunit ribosomal RNA
Source: RNAcentral